GCCUGGCUGGCUCAGUUGGUGGAGCUUCUGACUCUUGAUCUCAAGGUUGUGAGUUUGAGCCCCACACUGGGUG
RNAcentral lists this transfer RNA (73 nucleotides) under Felis catus (domestic cat). It matches the Rfam family "tRNA". Rfam says of the family: Transfer RNA (tRNA) molecules are approximately 80 nucleotides in length. Lineage: Eukaryota; Metazoa; Chordata; Mammalia; Carnivora; Felidae. The record is from Rfam by way of RNAcentral. RNAcentral also lists the same sequence under 3 other names.